GCUGGUUGUUGCAGAAUUUGGCAUCAGAUAUGGUAGGUUUGGAAAAAAUAUUGAAAAAAACUUUAUCUCUCCAUUUGCAGAUGAGCAUGAAGCGUCAUGAAAAUGUAAAAUUAUACCAAAUGUGAUCAUCCAAAAGCUGACUGAAUGCCCUGUUACUCAGCUCCUGUGAGCUGCUUGGCACCUUGCUGUUUUUAAGAAAUUUUAACUCCUAACAUAGAUAAUAUAUUUUGAGUUAUGCAUCUCUCCACCCAUCCAUCGUUCAUCCACCUGUCAUCUGUCCAUCUAGCCAUCUUUUAUUAAAACUCUCUUUCUGUAUUUUUGUAUUUUGAAGCCAGUCGAUGUUAUUUGUAAUUAAGCUAUAGUCUGUUUUCCCAAUUUUUCAAUUUCUUUAAUGUCACUAAAACCUACAUCUGGCUUAUGUGUAGAAAUAAAGCAGAGAGGCUAAGGGGUAUCCAAGCAUUUCAGAGAGAUACUCUUUGGUUUUUUGAAGGGUUUUGUCAUUCUUGGAAAAAAAUCAUUUUAAAAAUAGAUCUUUUUAAAAAAAUACAGGAAACAUCACACAAUGUGCACUUAUGAAAUUAAAGGACAUUGUGUGCUAAGCAUAUUUUCUUUUAAAAUUCAUGAGAACUUUAAUGUAAAAAAGUGGAUGAUAUUUAGAAAUAUCAGCCUUUGCAGAACCCUAAUUAGUGUAUUUGCUGAGAGAUAUUCCCUUUUUCCAGUUCCUUUUGACACUGGCCUCAAACUUCUGAGCAUCCCUUUUUUUUUUAAAUUGAGGUAUAAUUCGCCUAUAACAUUAUAUUAGUUUCAGGUGUACAACAUAAUGAUUCUAUGUUUGUAUAUAUUGAGAAAUAAUCACCACAGUAAGUCUAGUUAACAUCCACCACCAUACAUAUUUACAAUUUUUUUUCUUGCGUUAAUCCAAUAUGUUGAUUUCAACAUUGAAGGAGUUGUGAGGGACAAAUGGAGAGGCAAUUCCUAACUUAAAUUUGCAGAGCAGGGGGUUUAUUUGAUUUUACUUAUUUUCUAAGCUUUAUUCUAUUUUUAAGCUAAUAAAUUUUAUUUUUUAGAAGAGUUUUAGGUUUGUAGAAAAAUUGAGCAGAAUAUACAGAGAAUUCCAACAUACCCUCUUCCCUUUAUGCGUGCACAGCAUCCUCUAUUUAUUAACAUCUUGCCUUAGUGUAGUAGAAGGUUAUAAAUGAUGAACCAAUAUUGCUACAUUAUUAUUAACUAAAGCCCGUAGUUUACACUAGGGUUAUUCUUUCUAUUGUCUCUUCAGUGGGUUCUGGCAAAUGGAUGAUGACAUCUAUCCAGCAUCACAGUAUUAUACAGAAUAGUUUCAAUGUCCUAAAAAUAUCUUAUUCUCAAUUUUUCAUCCUUUCCUUCCUUCUCAAGACCCCAGUGACCACUAUCUAUUGUUCUCUCUAUAGUUUUGCUUUUUGUUUGUUUUAGAUUUUUAAUCUAUAGAAAAGUGCCCAUGCAGUUGAAGAGUGUUAUUGGAAAGUUAAAUGGGAUUAUUUCAUUCCAUGUUGGUAAAUCGAUGGAAUAGCCUUUCCCAGUGUAGGAGAACAUGAAGCAUACAGUGUCAGCAUCAGUCCGCUUUCCUUCAUUUCACUGUGUUGGUUGGGAAGGGACACUGCCUUCUCGUUCAGCCAGACCUUGGGCUCUGUGCUCAUUGUUGAGAUUGUGCCAACAUGGCAGAUGGAAAUCCUGGCUAUUCCACAAGCCCUGCUGGUUGGGGGUCUGUUGUUGGGGCUGCCACUUAGCCAUGGCGUAUUGAAAUUACAUGUGACUCAUGAACGCGGUCGGGAUAAAUAUGCUGAAGCAAAAUGUUGAUGGCUUUGUGUUUAAUACCCGCCUCUUUUGAUCGUAGUUCUGGAGAAGACAGGGAUUUAGAAUGCAGCUUCUUUCUUUUUUAUGAUUGAAUUGGAAUUCACCUCAACAUGUAAUUGUAAUUAACCAUUUGAAAGGGUACAAUUCAGUGGCACUUCGUACACUCACAAUGUUGUGCAACCUUCACUUCUAUCUAGUUCAAAAUAUUUUCAUCACCCCAAAAGAAGACUUCAUACCUACUGAUCAGUCACUCUCCAAUUCCUCUUCCUCCAGCCCCUGGCAGCCACUAAUCGGCUUUCUGCUUUUAUGGAUGUACCUGCAGAAUGCAGUCUCUUUUCUUAACCAUUAACCAUCUAUUAUGUUGUGAGAUGUAACCUUACGUGUUAUGAGAUGAUUCCCACUUUCCCUGUCUGGUACUCAGUGUAUAGAUGAUAAAAAUCAAUAGAACUUACCUGGUAGAUACUUGUGUUAGCAAAUAGCUUAUAGGGCUAGAGAUUUGAAAGUAACUAAAUUUGUAAGCAUACAUAGUCAAGUCACCAUAGAACAUUCGUAGAAGGGGCAGGCGUGGAAACUGGUGUAAAGGAGAAGCGUGUUUGAUUGACAUACUUCAUUCAAUUAUUCUCCUUGAACCAAGCCCACGACAGUUAUUCUAAAAGGGGAGCUUGGUUGAGAGCUGCCUGACAGCCUGCUUGAGAUGUCUGUCUCACCACCAACAGGGAAAGCUGCAACUCUCCUCCCUUAUUAUGCAUCACAUGAUCCUGUCCUCAACAUCUGACCUUCAGGCACAGCUGGAAGGAUCAGGAUGAACACCUGACCCUAUCACGAGCAUUCCUUGAAUGGACAGUGACUCAUGACUUGUGUGGCCUUUCUAGAAAUGACAAGCCAGGCCAAACAGAGGCUUCCUCUUGGGGAUUUGAAUAAAGAUUGAAGGAAAUCUACAUUCCGCAAAGGCAUGAAAAGCUGAAGAAAUGCUGUUUGGUAGAGUAGUGCAAUGACAAGUCCAAGAAGCGAUCAAGAAGCCAAGAUUGAGACAGCAGAAGCAUCUGGUCAACCUGAAUCCAGAGGGCGCCAUUUACAUGGGCUGAGCAUGGGGCCUCUGCUGGAGAUGCAUGCUGCAUAAACUUGCAAGGUGUUUUUAGGGAGAUAAAAGAAGAUGAAAAUGGAGCUAACCUGAGAGAGGAGAGGAGCUACAUGGUUUCUGAGAGAGAGUUGGAGAGAGCAGUUGUUUCCUGGAGCAACUUUCGUCCCUGACGUGACUCGGUUGUACUUUCUGUCAAACCCAGAUAUUCCCAGUCCUUGAAUUCCUAGGAGAGCUCAACCUUCUUGUCCAAUACAACAAUCUUCCAGCUUCCUUCCCUUAAGAGCUUGAAUCACUCUUGGUUUCUCGAAAGAAAGAGGUUGUGAGAACAGGAGGACAAGAAUGACAGGACCCUGAAGGAGAAGAACUCGUGUUGGCUGAACACUCAUCGACACUCGGGUACCGUGUGAGGUACUUUCAUGGGCAGUAUCUCAUUUUAUCCCCGUGCAUUUAGGAGGCAGAAAUUGAGGCGACCUAACUGGUUCAAAAUCACCUUGUCAUGGUGGAGGGGACUUUUAGCCCAUUCUUUCUGAAUCCAAAACCUCCCUCUGAAUCUUCUUGUUCAGUCUGUAAGCAUCCUGAUCUCCAGUUUAGGAAAAUGGUUGUUUGAUAGAGAAUAAGAUGGUUUUUUCUCCUUACGAUCACUUCCUUUCUACAGAAGGGGGCAUCGUGACUAAUUGAAAACAUCAGUUUUACUUUAUUUUUUGUUGUAGUACAAAAGGAAGACACAGGUGAUUUUAAAACAGAAGUGUGUGAAUAAAAUAGACUCAUCCCCUGUUAGGGUCUUUAUGUCAAUGACCCGUUUUCCCAUUUAGGACUUGCAGUGAGUUGAAUGGUGGCCCAUCAAAAGACAUGACCACAUCCCUGUGAACGUGACCAUAUUUGGGAAGAGUCUUUGCAAAUGUAAUUAGGUGAAGAAUCUUGAGAUGAGAAUAUCUGGGAUGAGGGUGGUCCUAAAUCCAAUGACAACUGUCCUUAUAUGAUACAGAAGAGAAAAGACACAGACACAGAGGAGAAGCCAUGUGAAGGCCGAGGCAGAGAUGGAAAGGAUGUGGCCACAAGCCAAGGGACACUUGGAGCCCGCAGAAGCUGGAAGAGGCAGAAAGGCACCCCCCUGGAGCCUCGGGAGGGAGAGCAGCCCUGCAUCACCUUUAUCUCAGACUUCCGGUCUCCAGGACUGAGAGAGGGGAUAAAUUCCUGCGGUUUGAAGCCCCCCAGUUUGUGAUACUUUGUUAGACCUGCCAUGGGAAACUCACGCAGGGCUCUUCCUCUAUUUUUCUGUGCUUUCGUUAUUUAUGGGACCUGUGUACAAUGUUUUUAUGUUUAAUACAUGGGCUGUAUUGAUUCCUGAUCUGGAAAAUCUCUUAAAAAAUAAGAGAGAACUUAAUAAGAAAAAAUUAAACCACCCAUAUCUCACUAUCCAAUUUUAUCAGAAUAAAAUAAGGAUGAAAUGUCAUUAAGACUGAUGACACAACAUUUUCAUAUUUCAAGUUCCACUUAUAAAAGCGCUCCCCCAACACAAUCUCCCCAUACCCACCUUCCCACCAUGAUCAUAGUUAUCAGAAGUUGAGAGAGAGAAAUCUUUAUUGAUCUCUAAAAAUUACUGGAUUGAGUGAUUCUCAUGCUUCACUACCUUGUAAGUUUUUAGUAUUGUUUUCCAAACUUUUCAGAUAAAGAAUCUGUGCCUCAAAGGGAUUGUUUCUUGACCAAGGUCACCCAGCUCAUGCAGGACAGACGUGGUAUUGCUUUAUUGUAAACAUGCAGCAAUCCUCUGGGGACCCUGUUAGAAUCACAAACUUGUGGGGUACACUCAGCCCAGAAACCCACCAGGGUAGGGAUGGACUACAAGAAUCCAUGAUUUUGACUUGCAAGUCAACUAAUGAAAGGCAAUUGUUCUCAACCACAUUUGGAGAUGUGAGGAGGAGAUUCCACGAGUCUCGUUGUUGGAGAAAUCGUUCCCCAAGUUCAGAGAAGGGAUGGAUGGGUGGGCUCCCCCUCUUUCUGUUCCUUUCUUGGUGCCAGCAAUGCAGGGUACUGGGAACAACCACUGAAGUAUUCCUUAUGGAAUAUUUGUACAGUUCCCAAAACUGGAGUGAGAGGAAACACGUUUGCUUGGAGAGAAAGGUCUAAGUCUUGCAAGACCGUACAGAUCUGGAGGGGUUUAGUGCUGAAUUUUUGAGUCUGAGGGAGUAAGAUGUCACCAUAUUUGGGGUCCUCCAUUUGCAGAAGCCCCUGAGGCUGGGAGUGCUUUGGGAUUGAGAUUAUCCAGGUAGAGGCAGUCUUCACGGUACCAACGGACUGCUGCCGACUCUCUUCCGUCAUAGACUCUUCUAGAUUAAUGGUUUAUAAAGAAGGGGCUGUGUUCCCCCAGGGAGGAAGUAAGAUGAUCUCGUUGGGUAUGGAAAAAUAUGAGAACUUCUACAUAUAUGUAUUUUAUUUACUAAACAGGAAAAAAUAAGCCUUGCUAAUAUGUAGUCUAUUGACAAUUGUACUUGUAUACAUAUCGAGCAUGUGCUGAAAAGUUUUAUAAUAUUGAGCAUAAUCAAAAAACAUGACCACGAUUGCUGUAGACUUUAGACUUCAUCUACUCACUUCCUCUUUCCGUCUCUCACAAAGCAGUUGAGAUUUCUCAUUUUUGGUUAAUGUCCUGCCCACACCCACACCCUUUUUUCAGUGUGUAGGAUUUCUGUACUUCCAUGUUUUUAUUUCACUGAGGAUUUUUGGAGAAAUGAGAGUCAAACUGAUAGCCCAUCCUGACCCAUUUCUGCGUCUUCUUUACAACCAGAGAACACAUGUCAAUUUUGGAAUGGUGAUCUGGUGUUCUAGGUGCAGGUGGGUGUGCUUGUGUGUGUGAAUGUGGUGUGCAUGUGAGUAGGCUGUGUGUCUGGGUGUAUUCAAGUGCACAUGUACAUGGUAUGUAUGUUUGCAUGUGUAUGUGUGUGUGCGUGCACUGUGUAGUGUGUGCAUGUGCAAUAUGUGGGCAUGUGUGGUGUAUAUUGACUGUGUAUGUGCAUCUGUGGUGUGUGUUGUGUGCUUAUGUGUAAAUGUGGGGUGUUUAGUGUGUGCAUGUAUAUGUGUGGUCUGUAUAGGCAUAUGCACGUGUGGGGUAUGUGUGCAUGCUUACAUGCAUGGUGUGGAUGCCUAUGUGAUGUGUUUGCGUGCACACGUGCAAUGUGUGUUUAGCAUGUAAACUGGUAUAUGUGCAUGUAUAGUGUAUACAUGUAUGUAUGCACAUGUGUGAUGUGUGUUUGGUGUGCAUGUUUGUGCGUGGAUGUGUAUGUGUCAGUAGGAGGCUGAUGCUACAUGCACGAGGGAAUUAAAAUCCAUUCAAUCCAGUUACUUCAGUCCAGUGUAAGCCUAGACACAAUCCCUUCAGGGGAAAUACUGUCAUUAUGAUUUCCCCUCCAUCUCUCCUCCCUGAGUGACAUCUGGGCUCUGAAGGGGGCUUCUGUGCCUUCCAGGAAGUGGAGCAAAGGGUCCAGGUUGCCAGGUGCUGUGCUCUGCUGUCUCAGGUCUUUUAGUCUAUGUUCCAGGAUGUCCUGGGAGCUGCUGGCACUCGUGGCUGAUGUCCAUGGCUGGCGAGCUCUGUGGUCUGGCCAAGGGCAGAUGGUGCUUCUGGCUGCAAUUGUACCAGAGUAGCACCCUCCAGUGAGUCGCUGCAGUAUCUUCCACCCCAUCCUAAUGCAAUCUGUCCUGUCCCGUGACCUGGCUAUGGGGUCAUGUUGUUCCCCCAUCAGGGGCCUCAGUCUCUUCCAGUGGCUUGCCCUUCACCAUCUGCACCCUUCAUGAAGAGCACAAAUGAGGCUCGGAUUGGGGCAGGUGGGGGGGGGGGGGCAACUGUACCCUUUCUGUGCCAAGCAAAUGUGACCAUUCAAGAACAGACGGGAGCUGUGAAUAAACUCAACCCCAGUGCUUCUCUCUGGGAGCCGAAGACCCGAUUGCUGCUUUCAAGGUGUCCACCGCAUGGGAGAUUUCCUCCUCUUUGCAGAACCAGUCUCUGUAGGAGCCAGAGCAUCACGGACAGAAAGACAUCUCAUCCUGGAGAGAAAAAUGAUCCAAGGUUGUAGAAUGGAGAAAGGAGAGGUAAGAGCAGCUGUUGUAAGAGAGAUGUUGCAAAGAAGAGUCACCCCCCCUUUGCUGACCAACGAGGUUCAAGGAGAGAGGCGAGCAUCCGUCAGUGGUAUCAUUCGUCCUGAGGGUGCUGACCUGCUGGGAGAGGCCAAAGGAUGGGCUGGGCUGAUGGAAUUGCUUCCAGCACAAGCCAGGGAAACUUUGCUCCGGAAUGGUUCCUCUAAUGGAGUUAAAAUGGGUUGUCCAUUUGUCCAUUUGCAUUUUCUCAUCUUGCCACAGCAUUUAAGCCUGGUUUGGAAUCCAAAAGUAAUCUUUUGCUUUUUCCUUAAGUCACCUUUCAAUAUUCUCUCCAUUAUAGGAAAAAACAGAAAGACUGAUGCCAAGUCGGAUGGGAAGAACCGGUGAGUUAUCAUAUCUGGGGAUUUCCAAGGGCCUGGCUAGGUAUGCCUGCUGCUUCGCCCACCCCUGCAUGGGCUCAGAUUUCAUAAGUAUUUUAAGCAGCAGAGCCCGUGCACAGGCCUAUGCUCCCUUUCCUGGGAUUUACUCUAAUUGCUCAACAUGAAACACUUAGAGCUGGAAUUUCAGUUGCUGAUAAUGAGCAGGGCAUUGUCCUGGAAAAAUUGUGGUCACUAAUGCAGAAGCAAAAGAGAAUACUGGAGUCCUUGAGAGUCUCCAGAAGUUUCCUCAUUAAGAAUUUAAAUAGAUUUACGGUAAAGCUGUGGGGGAAGAGGCAGAAACAUCUGCUUUGAAAAUGAAACGGAAGAUGUAACUCAGUAUUUGGGAAAAAGGGGAUAUAAAUGAGAUUUCAUUGUUACAUAUCACCUGCAAGCUCUCAAUAAACUGUUAGAAAUGGCUGCAUUGCUCUGGUUUAGGUGUCAGCAAAGCAUGGAUCGUGGGCCAAAUCUGGCCCACUGUGUGCUUUUAUAAAUAAAGUUUUAUUGGAAGUUGGCCGCAUGCAUUCGUUUAUCGGUACUAUCUAUGGCUGUUUCCUGCUACAACAGAAUUGAGUAUUUUCAAAGGAAAUUAUGUGACCCACAAAGCCCCAAGUCUUUACUCUUUGGCCCUUUACAGAAAACAUUUGCCAACUCCUCCGUUUGAUUAACUUGGCUGCCUUUUGGACAGAAUCCUCGUGUGCCCAUGCCUUUUAGACAUCUAAAAUCAUCACUUGGGAAAAUGUUGCUUUUUAUAUGUAAAGUUUGAAUAGUUAUUCUCUUUGUACUAUUCUUAUUUCCUGGGAAUGUAUCAUUAUUGUUUUAAGAUGACCAAAGUAAAAACCACAAUGAGUGAUUUAACAAGCUGAGGAGCCCACAUUUUUUUUUUCUAGCUGAUGUUUGCGUUACUCCACCUAAAUUAGUGUUUUUCUAAGAAAGACUGGCUGAAAGUUUCACAGAGGAUUUUAUGUGUAAUCCUCAAAUAUUUUGAAUUUAAUACUUCAUUUUUUGAUUAACCACUAGAUUACAUUUUUCAUUGAACGGCGAAUGCCAACAAAAAAUGAUGGGCAAACAUGGCUUCUAAAAAUGGUCUGGCAAAAGUCACUGAAGAAAUGAGAAAUUCAGAGGGACGAGGACGACACAUUUUGCCAGAUCUAGAAGGAACUCAAAUCUUAUGGCUUUUGAAUGUCAACCUGAUGCGGGGUCGGUGAGCCGAGGAGUCGAAAGAAAGAUUUCUUGGACUCUCAAGAUCUGGCAGCAGUGCUCUUUUAUUUAGAGAAUAGUGUAGCAUGGGGACAGCACCCAUGGGCAGGCAGAGCUGCUGCUGCUGCCCCCGCUGGCAUGGGGACAGGACCCAUGGGCAGGCAGAGCUGGUGCAUGGGGACAGGACCCACGGGCAGUCAGAGCUCCUGCUGCUGCCCCGAGUUGAGGGUUAGGGCUAAUUUUAUAAGGCAUGGGUAUGUGAGUCAUUUCUUUACAGGACAAAGGAAAGAACAUGGAAAAAAGUUAAAAUGGUAUCAGUGCAGGUGGGUCUGGUCGUUGGGUGAUCCCAUGACUUUUUGACAAGAAUCAAAUUGGAUUAAGUAAAGGUCAGAAGCCACCACCCUAAAUCAGUUACAUGAGAUUGCCAGACAGUAACCAACUUAAGUUCCUGCCUCUGGCAUUAAGAGUUUCUAGAGAUAAGGCCAUCCCCCUUCUCCCUGGCACAGAGAGGGAGGCAUCUUCACAGAUAGAGGUUUUCCUUAGAAAUGUAAAUCUUUCCCAAGAAAGGGGCAAGCAAAUUCCACUGCUUGGAGCCUGCUUCUCAUCUGUAGUUUUAAAAGUAACCAGCCUAAAAAUCCUCAUCAAAACCAAAUGGCAUUUUUUAGGGUUUUUUUUUAUUUGGCUUCCAGUAAUUUGUAAGGUUUUCUUAAAGGAAGAAAAAGCUUGCAGUUCAUAAGAGAAAUUAACAUUUCAUUGGGCAUCGAAUAGUUUUCAUAAUACUCUUCUUAGUGUAGUCAUGUUUUGGCAAAUCCCAAAUAACCGUUAUCCACAAUACAUGCCCAAGCUGAAAAAUGAAACAAUGGAAACUAAUUAGAGGGUGGGGAAUCAGCUUCUCCCUAAGCUUUCAACAUACUGUUGCUCACUGGUAGUGUCUGAUCUUCACAAACACAUUGUCAUUGGUUUCCCGCAUAGUCACUUGGGCCAUUAAGUGGGAAAACUAUUUUGUUAACUGAAUCGGAAGCCCCAGGACACCAGGCUUGCUUUUCCUCAUGUUGUUUAUCCUGUGUUGGGGAAACAUGGAUAGAUUUUGUUCUUCUUGUUAUUUUUAAGUGAAGGAGUUCAAUAAGAAGGACACUUUUUCUGAUUGUGUGGUCUUAGCUUGAAUUACCAAUUUAUUCCCAUAUGCAUCGUUUUUGCUGCAUCCUUGUGCACAACUGCACCCAGCCCUACAAUGCCCAAUUCCCCAAAUUGUCCAAAUUUGGUGCAUUCUUUAAAGUCUUACUCAAAUGCCACAUCCUUUUUGAAAACCCCUCAGAUCUCUCCCAUCACCCCUCUCCCUUGAGAACAAAAUAAUGUCACCCCUGUCUGAAGUCUCUAAGGACUGUGGGUCUUGGUUGGGCUCCCCCGAGGCAGUCUCAGAGUUAGGGAUUUGUCUGUGAGUGGUUUCUUUGGAAGGGAAUCUCAGGAAGCCUGAUGGUGAUGGAAUGGGGUGGUGAGACCAGGAAAGGAAGGAAGCCAAUGAAAGGAGCCAUCCUAGGCAAUGGAAGCUCCCUUCCCACAGGCAGCUUAGGGUUGUCUCCCCAAGGUGUGAGGAAGGUACACUAAUCACCCCCAAUUUUCAGUUCACCAAUGGCCCAGGGCUGUUCCAGUCAUCAGCUCCCUGACACUUUGACCUGCCAUACUCUAGGGCAGAAGAGAAACCUCUCAGGAAGAAGUUGCAGGACGCUGUUGACAUGAAAAGGAGAUGGUAGGGACAGAAGACAGAUGGUGUCCACUCCAUCAUGUGCAUCUCAUGGCUUUCAUUCCCUUCUCCAAAGCAUCGCCUCUUCUCAAUUCUCAUGUCUUAGAGCACCUGUUUCAUGAGCUUCUGUGAAGGCAGGGAUCCCCUCGCAGCCCAGUGCACCGGAAGUGGCCACCAGAUGCACCUUGGAGGGCUGGCUCUUCCAAGCCUGCAUCCUUCAGGAAAGAUCUGGCAGAGUUUCCGCUAGGUUUUUCUUCAUGGCUUUAUGUCCUUCCCGUCUCCAUGUCUUGCUUCCAAAUGCUGAGUCUCUCCCUUCUUCACUUUGUCACCUUUUCUUUGUUUCCAUCAUCAUUUUGCUCCUUCUUCUCUCCGCGUUUUGACCUGAGAUCCUGACCUCCAUCUAUAUUAAAUUCAGGAUUCAUGGAUAUCCUCCUGCAUUCUUCUCCCCCUGCCUAGAGCCCUUAUAGCGGUCGGAUUUCCAUUUCUCUCUCUUCCAAUCUUGAUUUCCCACUAGCUCAGUGGGCUCUGUAGAUAUCCCAGGAAGCCUGAAUUCUCCCACACAAGCAGAUGUUGAGGGAUCCACGUCCCCUUUGCUUUAGUUGCCAAGGAGCAGAAGACAAAUCUGAAAGCAAAGACAUGAGGACCUGGAGGAAGAGGGCGUUUGUAUCCGUCCACUCGGAUAAAGUCCCUUACUGAUUCUCGCUGGCAUUUGUUACAUUUUAAAGGUAUGUAAAGUGGUUGUGUAAACUGAUUACCCGAAGAAUCUGAAGAUAAGUUUGAAAAUGAACAAGAUAAGACCCUGGCUUCCAUAAUUUUUAACUUCAGCGGUAGUUGGUUGAUUAUUAUCUCUGAGCUCUUCUAUUUUUCUCUUACCUAUGGGUUCCUUUUAGGUGGGUGGCUCUGAAUCAGCGUGUUGUCUGGGAGACUGGAAGACAAUUCUCACAUUUUAGACCAACCUGAGGACCUCAGACAAGAAAGUAUGACUGGGUAUCAGGACAAGGAUAAGACCAAGUUUCAGAAACAAGUGGUAGAGCAGGCUUUUAAUUUUCUUCAUACCCAAAUUCCAAUUGUGAUUCUGGACCUCAAGGACAAUUGGUUUGUCUGUAUUUUAGGUAAUGUUUAAAUCUCAGCCAUUUGGAAGAACUCCUAAGCAAUGUCGACAAUACUCGGUAGUAUAUUCCCUAAGUAUCAUGAAAUUGGUCAUUUCAUAUGAACAUAUUACACUUUGCUUAUGUUACAUUCAUAGUGUGGAAGGAAUUUUGACCUCAAAUGCACCUUUUCUUCAAUACCUCCUGCCCACAUCUACAGACCUGCAAAGAGAUGCCUUUAUAAUGCUAGAGUUAAAUGCCGUGGGUGACAGCGACUGUGACAUGAAUUAAAGACUGGAUCGUGUUAGUGCUCAUCGCAGGGGGAUAGACCUAGAGAAGCCAUUAAUUUCAUCAAUGUCCAGGCUUAUUUUGCCAAAUAAGCUUCUUUAAUAGGGGCUUUUCUUCUUUAAGGACAAGGGAGAAUCAAUCAAAGUGCUUGUGCCGCUUGAGUUUGAAUUUGUAGAGUCUUACGUCUCUCAUAACCCUCACAGGGAUGGUUUUCCUGGGUGCCCUUGCUCUGGUUCAAAAGUUUCAUGUCCCUGCCUCUGACCCGUUGGUCUUAAGAACCAAAGGGAAAAUAAGAGCACGACUCUAGAAAUUGAGCUUUAUUUCUUGCCGUGAGCAUCGCACUGUUAUCUUGGUAAUUAUGGGUUUCCCACAGCAUAUCAAUAAUGCACAGGCUGUCCUAGUCAAUCAAACAAUAACUAAACUAAUAACUUUUAGUCGAGAGUUUCCUAUAAGUCAUCUGCCAUCAAAACAGUCUUUAGAAACCAUCUCAAACAACCUAACAACAUUUCAAUUGUCGUUUAGAUAAUCAAAGAGAAACCACUGUCGACAGGCUUACCCGCUAAUGCAGCCGAAAAUGAACGCAUUGGCAGCAGAUCUGGCUCAUAUUACAGAAUUGUAAUCAUGUGGCUUAGACUGGGUUUGAAAACCUAAAACAGCCAGUGAGUGUUCUUCCAAAAGCGGUGUAGGGUAAGGAGGGUCCUGUCCGGGGACACAUGGCAUACUCAAGUCUUAAAAGGAACUAGUUUCAAAGGUGUGGGAAAGGCAUAGGGAAAGCCCAGGGAAGAGUGCAGGAAUCUGGGUCAAGAAGAAGCAGAAGAGAGGAAGAGUUCCCAGAAUCUUGAGGAUAAAGGGCGAGAAGGGGCACCUGUCAAGAGGGCUGUGGCUAACCUCCCUCUGCUCUCGUACUCUGCCCCUCUACUUGUGUAUCCUAACUUCUUGAUUGAUUGGAAACCAGAGUGAAGGGAGUCUUUUGAUGCUACCCAUCCAAGUCACUUUCUAGGAGCUCAGAGCCGGGUGGAGAAAGGUGGACUGGGUCAUUGUGGAUCAGGAGGGUAAGCAGGAGAUGGUCAUCCAACCACUUUUCACGUGGCUGUUUGCUUUUUGUUUAUUCCCUCAUUUUUGCUUGUGUACAUAGAAGGAAUGUCAUUGUUGAACUGGCGUUCAGAAGUCAAAACUUCAUGUACUAUUAUGAAAAGGGUUAAUAGCGACAGUGGUCUCAACUUGUCUGAAUCCAGUUAACUACCAUAUGAAGUUCGUUCUUCUUUUUAACUCUGGGGAGAUUAACGAAAUGCCAUCCUUUAUGUUCAAACUGUUAGUCUCCGUAGGAUGGUUUUUAUAAUUUCUUUGAACUCAUCUUUUGCUGGAUGUUCCUGCUUUUUCACUUAGAGAACCAUCUCUCAUGAAAAGGCAUUUAAUGAGAGACCGUUCAUAUUCACCUCAUUUUUGUCAGGGGUACAGAUUUGAAGGAACAUCAAUUACUUUCAUAGAAUCAGUUUCCUUUUCUUUGAUAUCAAAAUACCCUCUACCUCUUAAAAGAUGAACUUACAUGAUAUACUAUCUGAAGAAAUUACAGAUAAAUGAAAGUCAGCCAUUCUUUAAAUAACAACUAGAUCUCCUAAACAUGCAAUUUCAUAGUGGGGUUUCUUGAUCUCAAUCGUUGUAGCAAUGAAAAAUUACCUCAAAUCAUUUUAAAGGUUUACAGAAUGCAUCUUUAGUAGAGAAUUUUAAAAAGAAAGCAUUUUAGAGAUUGAAACAUCUUUCAAUUUCAUGUCAUGCAAAACUUUGAGAGCACAUAUUUUGUGGAAAUGUUCCCCCAUUCCCUAGCAAAGGGCUCUGGGCUGAGGUAGUUUGGGACCCAAGUACGUUAUACCGCCCUCCUACAGAGCUCCAACCUUCUGGGGUAAACGAGUGGAACAUGAUGCAUCGACGUUUGACUAUAACUUCAGAUCGUGAGCUACAGUAUUUUGAAACAUAUAUGGUUUAUUAUAAAUACAGUUGGAGAAAGUUGUCUGAUGUAUUUGAAUAGUUACUUUUUUUUUUUGCACUCUUUUAAGCUUCUCUCGUAUAGUAAGGUAUGGUAUAAUUUAGAAUCAUUAAGAUGUUGUUUCUAACCCAGACUUGAUCGCUUACUGGCUAAAUGAACAUCCAACAAGUUUCAAAUCUCUAGGUCUUUUUAUUCAUCUGCAAAAUAGAAAUUAUUCUUCUUAUGUAUAUUAGUUUUCAGACUGUCUCUCU
Molecule: long non-coding RNA, 13965 nt
Filed under: Equus caballus (horse)
Lineage: Eukaryota; Metazoa; Chordata; Mammalia; Perissodactyla; Equidae
Description: lncRNA (ENSECAG00000048383.1)
Source: RNAcentral